AGGGUAACAGACAUAUUUAUUUCAAAUACCAUCAAUGGAAAUACAUCAUGUUGUCGGUUACAAGCAAUCCUAGGUUCUGAAUAAUAUUACAGCCAAGCCAAAUGGAAGAAAUAAUUUUCUAAAAAAACAACAAAGAAUACACAUCAUCCUGUCAUGACAGUCGCCCAUGCCCUUCCCUGCAUUAUGCUUCCACAGACCGUUUAGGAACCGCAGGGGUAUCCUCCAGCACCAUACUCUGACCUGCAAAUCCAAGAGCCAGCAGUACCGUGCCGUCAGUGUGAACAAGAGUCCAUGUGCGCCAGGGAAAUGCAAUUGAAUACAUGGUUUGUUUCUGUUGUCGCCGCCUACUAUAAGUCUAGUACCUGCUGCAAGCCAAAUCCAAACGUGUAUAACAUAAACCCAAAACU
Molecule: long non-coding RNA, 407 nt
Filed under: Lathyrus oleraceus (garden pea)
Lineage: Eukaryota; Viridiplantae; Streptophyta; Magnoliopsida; Fabales; Fabaceae
Description: Pisum sativum (pea) long non-coding RNA (PSAT_LNC008857)
Source: RNAcentral